Molecule: small nuclear RNA, 192 nt
Gene: U2
Rfam family: U2 spliceosomal RNA
About the family: U2 is a small nuclear RNA (snRNA) component of the spliceosome (involved in pre-mRNA splicing). Complementary binding between U2 snRNA (in an area lying towards the 5' end but 3' to hairpin I) and the branchpoint sequence (BPS) of the intron results the bulging out of an unpaired adenosine, on the BPS, which initiates a nucleophilic attack at the intronic 5' splice site, thus starting the first of two transesterification reactions that mediate splicing.
Source: Ensembl
AUCCCUUUUUGGCCUUUUGGCUAAGAUCAACGGUUGCAUCUUUUUCUAUCAGUUUAAUAUCUAGUAUGUCCUCCAGGUGAGGAAAGCAUAUUAAGUGGGGUUUUUGAACGGCGGAGAUGGAGGUGGAACUUGCUCUUCUCACUCUGUGCAUUGACGGAAUAUUACAGUGCUUCUGAAAGCUGUGCAUAUGAC